Molecule: transfer RNA, 78 nt
Filed under: Acidobacteriota bacterium
Lineage: Bacteria; Pseudomonadati; Acidobacteriota
Also listed under: 3 other names
Description: Acidobacteria bacterium tRNA-Glu
Rfam family: tRNA
About the family: Transfer RNA (tRNA) molecules are approximately 80 nucleotides in length.
Source: RNAcentral
GUCCCGUUCGUCUAGCCCGGUCCAGGACAUCGCCCUUUCACGGCGGCAACACGGGUUCAAAUCCCGUACGGGACGCCA